RNAcentral lists this microRNA (21 nucleotides) under Hippoglossus hippoglossus (Atlantic halibut). Its description in RNAcentral is "hhi-miR-7790". The record is from miRBase by way of RNAcentral. Lineage: Eukaryota; Metazoa; Chordata; Actinopteri; Pleuronectiformes; Pleuronectidae.
UGGAAGAAAGAGGAAAAAGUA